Molecule: ribosomal RNA, 405 nt
Filed under: Rhizophagus intraradices
Lineage: Eukaryota; Fungi; Glomeromycota; Glomeromycetes; Glomerales; Glomeraceae
Source: RNAcentral
CAGUCGUACCGGCGGAUAAUCAGCCUUUCGGGUGCGAUUCUGUGGGGCGUGAGGAGCUUAACCGCCUUCAUGUUUUGCAUAUUCGUGCACAUUUGGUGUACUUGUCCGUGUGGUGGGUUAACAUCAAUUUCGGUCGUCAUAAAAUGAUUGGAGGAAUGUAGCUUUGAUCUCGUAUCGAAGUGUUAUAGACUCUGGUAGAUGUGACGAUUGGGAUUGAGGAUUGGCAACGGAUACCCUUCGGGGCUACUCGUCUGAUCUCUGAAGGUUGCUCCGGUACCGAAAGCGUGCUUACGGUCAUUUAAGUUGACGGUCAACAGGUUAGAACGCGAUUACAUUCGUUAAGGACGUUGACGUAAUGGCUUAAACGACCCGUCUGAAACACGGACCAAGGAGUCUAACAUAUGU